ACAGGUCCUCCUGUAAAUCGCUGUCUCGGUCUAGACAUCCCUACAAAAUAGAAACAUUCGAUGGACUCGGCAAGAGGGACGGCAGAGGGCAACGCCAGCGAUGACAGAGCGGACUGCCCUACUGUAGGAGAGGCUGGUUGCAGAAGGCUGGUAGAAUGUCAAAACAAUUUUGCAUGUACUGUAUGUGUGUGUGUGUGUGUGUGUGUGAAUGCCCUAUUACAUUUAGGUGUGUGUUUGUGUCCGUGUUCUCUUGUGCAUGCGUGUCUGUGUGUGCGUUAAACAUUUGAUGUUGGGGCUGGUCUGUAAAGUCACUUUCAAUUUUCCUCUUUAGCAGUUUUAAAUGCAGAAGGGGUCCGGGUGAAUUGCUUAAAUAAAAACAAGAUUUAUUAGACUACUGAGGCACAAUUCUAUUUUCUCUGAACUCUUCUGAAAGGGUAGAAUAACUCAUAUUUCUCCAGUCCAAAGAAGGCGUCCAAGAAAAGGUCUCCACAGACCAGUGGGCAGGGUCAUGCCUGACGUAGCAACGCUUCACAAAUUACACAGACUCUACAUAAGUGGAUAACAUUUUCCCCUCUAAGCGCUAAUGUUCGUGCCCUGCCCCCGCCCCUAACUCCCAGUUCAAUCUAACUCAAAUUGCUUUUGAUUGGCUCGAAUUCAAACCUCCCUCUAAUUAAAAAAGAAUGUGUUUUAAUCUCAGUCUACUGCAGCCUACCUUUCUUUCGUGGGGAUCUGGAUUUAUGGGCCUACGGAAAAGUUAUAUUUUUUUAAAGCGAUGUGUGCAUUAGCCUCUGUUGCUAACGGUUAGCAAUAUGUCCUUGUCAUCACUGAAUCUUCCUGACAUCACGAAGCCUUUAUCCAGAGGGUUCUCCAUGAGCCGGGGGAGACUCAUCCAGGUACCAUCCAGGUCCCAUCCAGGUCCCAUCCAGGUACCAUCCAGAUCCCAUCCAGGUACCAUCCAGGUCCCAUCCAGGUACCAUCCAGGUCCCAUCCAGAUGGAAUGCAUCCAGGAAUUAAAGCAGCUUUGAAUGGAACCGUGCCAAGAAAUAAUUACACGUGUUUCUUACAGUUUGUGUUUCUGUGCAUAAGCUGUACAAUCCUUUAAUGGUUUCAUGUUACAAAGCACAGCAGUGUGUUGUGAGGCCUUUGAGCCCUGCUCAUCCUGUUAGUGCUGAGGCUGGACAUGUGGCGGUGCUCAGCAACCUGGACAACCUGAAACACCUGAAGCCCUGUUUGAUGCCUCCACGGCUCGUCUCUGGAAGCUGUGAGGGGUUUUUCAAUUGCAUUUCUGUUUCCCUUUGUA
Long non-coding RNA from Hypomesus transpacificus, 1300 nucleotides. RefSeq lists it as uncharacterized. The transcript is spliced from 3 exons. The record is from RefSeq and is a predicted model, not a curated record. Lineage: Eukaryota; Metazoa; Chordata; Actinopteri; Osmeriformes; Osmeridae.